Long non-coding RNA from Dermochelys coriacea (leatherback sea turtle), 162 nucleotides. RefSeq lists it as uncharacterized. Lineage: Eukaryota; Metazoa; Chordata; Testudines; Dermochelyidae. The record is from RefSeq and is a predicted model, not a curated record. The transcript has 3 exons.
UCAGAGUGUGCUCUUUCGAUUGUCCACCCAUGAUGUAUGUUCUCCCCACUCUCUACAAUGUGCAGCCAGUGUUAACUCAGAGGGGCUGGCCUGGGGCUGUGUAGCCAAGCAGCUGCAGGAGCCCCUCACCCUUCUUAGUCACAUCAGUCCCAUUUCCAUGUA